GGAGAGAUGGCAGAGCGGUCUAAUGCGGCGGUCUUGAAAACCGUUGGGGGUGCUGAGCCCCCCGUGGGUUCGAAUCCCACUCUCUCCGCCA
Molecule: transfer RNA, 91 nt
Filed under: Bacillota bacterium
Lineage: Bacteria; Bacillati; Bacillota
Also listed under: 1 other name
Description: Firmicutes bacterium (anaerobic digester metagenome) tRNA-Ser
Rfam family: tRNA
About the family: Transfer RNA (tRNA) molecules are approximately 80 nucleotides in length. Their secondary structure includes four short double-helical elements and three loops (D, anti-codon, and T loops).
Source: RNAcentral